Spinacia oleracea (spinach) is the source of this 1530-nucleotide long non-coding RNA. RefSeq lists it as uncharacterized. Lineage: Eukaryota; Viridiplantae; Streptophyta; Magnoliopsida; Caryophyllales; Amaranthaceae. The transcript is spliced from 4 exons. The record is from RefSeq and is a predicted model, not a curated record.
ACCUCAAAACAAACGCAAGUACGCAACCCUUAACCUUGGGCUAAAAAAAAAAGAACUAACACUGCUCUCAUCGUUCCCUGCAGCCAACUUCACACACUCGCUCCCUGCAACAUCUCCCUGCUGACCGGCGAAGCCACCAGCGCUCUCUUUCUUCUCAGGAAAUCGUCAACAUUGGCAAACCUCCGUGUCUUGGAUAUUACAUCGAAUAAGCUAACAGCAAUAGAGGAUAUUGAAAAGUUGGCAAGGUUGGAAGAUCUGUGGCUUAAUGAUAACCAGAUUGCCUCUCUGGAGGAUAUGGCUGAGGCAGUUGCUGGUUCUAGGGAGACGAUUACCACUAUCUAUCUUGAGCAUAACCCAUGUGUUUUCACAACUCCAAGGGAGGGGCCCUUCACCAAAGAGGAGUUGGAUGAAGUUCGAGACAAGUGGGCUACUUACUUCAACGAUUGUGAAUUACCCCCAGUGUAAUAAAUAGAGCAGGCUUGUAAUUAUCCGUGACUCUUACAUUAUUUUGUUAUUUAUCGAUUUAAUUAAUUACAUUUGAAUUAAUUCGGAAAUAUUAUUGAAAAUUUGAAAUUUAUAUCAUUUUUGAGAAAUGUCAAGAUGAUGUUUGGUGAAACAGUAUUCUUUAAACUAUAAUGCAGAAUUUUAUAUUGCAAAAUAUCAGGAAUUUUAUUGCAGAUUUUUUUUUAAAAAAGAAAAAAAACCCUCAAAAGUUUCCUUUGUUUGCAACAAUAGCAACUUAUGUGAAGCUUAUAAGUUGCCCUUGUUUCAAACAAGAGCAACUUAUGUGAAGCUUAUAAGUUGCCUGAUAUGCAUGUAUAUAUAGUAUUUUUACCCCCGUCCCUUAGUACUUUUAUGUGUCAAACGUGCUCUUAGGAGCCGUUUCUAGUACUAAUGUGUGUUAUUGAGUGUGCCUUGAGUUUCAGGUUUGAUUAUGAGAAAUUGGUCGUUUUAGACCCGUUUCAUUGUAGAUCUAGGCCACGAUCUAGGCCACUAUAUGAGUCCGAGAAGUUCGGGACCUCCAUCGUCGACUUUCGGGAGCCUUGGAUGCUUAUGGUUGAGCCCCGGGAGUUAGACUCAGUGAUAUAGGCGAGCUACAUUGAAGAUUGCAAAUCGCCAUGGAAGCUGAGGGCGAAAUGCAACCAUCGGGCGGAAUUAUAAGCAAUCUGGAUUCAUCAACGCGCGCCCGAUCGGGCGCAGCUCGCCCGAUCUGGAUCGGGCGGUCAAUCUGGAGGCUAUAUGGAGAGUUCACAAUCCGCCCGAUCGGGCGGAUUUUGGCCCGAUCGGGCCGACUAUCGAGUGGAUCGCCCGAUCGGGCGACGCCAACCCCCAGCACUUAUGCGCGAGUUUUCUUUCCGUUUUUUAGGCUUUAUUUUGGGCAAACUAUAUAAGCAAGCCUUAAUUGUUUUUAGAGGACACUUUAUUUUCUAGUAUUGAAGCUUAGUAUUAUUUCCCUUAGCCUAAUUUUCUAUCUAGUUUAUGCAAAAACACUUAGUUUAAUUCUCAAUAAAAAUUCAAGCUUUCACUUUC